UGUGUCCUUCGACGCCGGUUCACCGCCUGUCGGUGCCAACUGGCGUUUUGCGGGACGUCCUGUCGGUGGUGUGUCAGGAAUCUUAGUUGUGCCAGGCUUUGCUUGGUGCAGCUCUGGUUUCGGGCCACUUUCAUAAUCCCGCCGCGGUGCUCUUAAUCGAGUGUCGAGGCGGGCCGGCACGUUUACUUUGAACAAAUUAGAGUGCUUCAAGCAGGCUUGUCACGCCUGUAUACUGUGUGCAUGGAAUAAUGGAAUAGGACCUCGGUUCUAUUUUGUUGGUUUCUGGAAUCUGAGGUAAUGAUCAAUGGGGACAGGCGGGGGCAUUCGUAUUGCGACGUUAGAGGUGAAAUUCUUGGAUCGUCGCAAGACGGACCGAAGCGAAAGCAUUUGCCAAGUAUGUUCCCGUCGAUCAAGAACGAAAGUUAGAGGUUCGAAGGCGAUCAGAUACCGCCCUAGUUCUAACCAUAAACAAUGCCUGCCAGCGAUCCGCCGGCGUCCCUCCGAUGACCCGGCGGGCAGCUUCCGGGAAACCAGAGCUUUUGGGUUCCGGGGGAAGUAUGGUUGCAAAGCUGAAACUUAAAGGAAUUGACGGAAGGGCACCACCAGGAGUGGAGCCUGCGGCUUAAUUUGACUCAACACGGGAAAACUCACCAGGCCCGGACACCGGAAGGAUUGACAGAUUGAUAGCUCUUUCUUGAUUCGGUGGGUGGUGGUGCAUGGCCGUUCUUAGUUGGUGGAGCGAUUUGUCUGGUUAAUUCCGAUAACGAACGAGACUCUAGCCUACUAACUAGACGUAUCUGGUAUCAGCAAUCGUGCUACCAGCGAUCAUAUCUCUUCUUAGAGGGACAGGCGGCUUCCAGCCGCACGAGACUGAGCAAUAACAGGUCUGUGAUGCCCUUAGAUGUCCUGGGCCGCACGCGCGCUACACUGAAGGAAUCAGCGUGUCUUCCCUGUCCGAAAGGACCGGGUAACCCGCUGAACCUCCUUCGUGCUUGGGAUUGGGGCUUGCAAUUGUUCCCCAUGAACGAGGAAUUCCCAGUAAGCGCGAGUCAUAAGCUCGCGUUGAUUACGUCCCUGCCCUUUGUACACACCGCCCGUCGCUACUACCGAUUGAAUGAUUUAGUGAGGUCUUCGGACCGGUGCGCGGAGGCGGUUUUCCGCUCCCGAUGUUGUCGGAAAGAUGACCAAACUUGAUCAUU
Molecule: ribosomal RNA, 1199 nt
Filed under: Toya bridwelli
Lineage: Eukaryota; Metazoa; Arthropoda; Insecta; Hemiptera; Delphacidae
Description: SSU rRNA
Rfam family: Eukaryotic small subunit ribosomal RNA
Source: RNAcentral